This is a non-coding RNA of Procambarus clarkii (red swamp crayfish), 777 nucleotides long. The record is from RefSeq and is a predicted model, not a curated record. Lineage: Eukaryota; Metazoa; Arthropoda; Malacostraca; Decapoda; Cambaridae.
CCUGACCACGGUGGACAACGGCCCUCGACCCGCACAUGUCAACAGCUGAUUUUGGCAGGUGUGUUGGAGCAGCGUGCAGGUGUAUAAGGGGUAGCCUGCAGAAAUCAAAAUGUUCGGCUCAUCAGACUUGGAUGAUGAGUCGAGUCAGGCUUUGGUACAAACACUUAAAGUAGACUGGUUAGAUAUGUCGUUUAUGGGGUGUCCACAGAGUGUUGCACUCAGUGGUCUCCCUGGCUGUCGUUUUAGGAACGUAUAUCAAAAUCUUCACAUGGACUUGAAAAGUGCAGUGGCCUGUUGGACCACCUGGACAGCGAGGCGCGAGAGUUGGAAGUGUUUCCAGCAUUACGUCAGAUACUCCUCUGCCGCAGAUUUGGAAGAUUUGCAAUAUUGUGGGUUGUAGAAGGUCCUUCCAAGAUAACUUCAGGAACAGUUGCAGAACAAUCGCUGGAAGUGUUAAAUGCUACAGAAAGUAGCAUAGUUGUCAGAAUUAGAGGGCCAAAAAUAUUGAUGGGAAAGUCGACCUUCAGCCCUGAGUUUGAAGGUGUUAAUUGCUUGACAUUCUGAAUUAGGUGGUAUGGAAGAUUACAAUGUCAUCAAAGCAUUGACUGGCUUCAGUGUGGUUGUUCUACUCUGCAAAUCUACGAAAGUUGGUUGUGGGAAGCUGCUCCUCCUAGAUGCAAUCCACUGAAGACUCAAAGAUCAACAAAAGGCCAGGGAAAACCAGAGUACCAAGGACAACAUCCACCUGUAAAGAAAAAAUAAAGUAUAUCAAACAGG